Phragmites australis (common reed) is the source of this 953-nucleotide long non-coding RNA. RefSeq lists it as uncharacterized. NCBI's taxonomy places the organism in Eukaryota, Viridiplantae, Streptophyta, Magnoliopsida, Poales, Poaceae. The record is from RefSeq and is a predicted model, not a curated record. The transcript is spliced from 3 exons.
GUAGUAUGAACAUAAUGGAACGAUUCUUAAAAAGAAAAUUACCACCUGCUAGUGAUGAAGGGACUUCACGUGCAAAUCGAGUUGUAUCAAACAUCAAUGUUACUACUCAUUCUUCUUUAAUAUUGUCGCCAAAAGAUGUAAAUUUAGAUGAGCUACCUUAUGAUCCGGCUGAUCGAAAGAGAAUCAAAGAAUAUCCUAGCCUUAAGCUACAAGAUCAGAUAAGGAGAAGAUAUUUGAUCAAAGGUUCUUGUUGCAUCAAGGAUUAGCUUUUCGUGGUCAUGAUGAGUCAGAAGAUUCUAAGAAUAGGGGGAAUUUUCUAGAGUUGGUGAAGCUUUUAGCAGAGCAAAAUGAAAAAAUUAAGAAGGUUGUGCUAAGAAAUGCUCCAGAAAAUCAUCAAAUGGUGGCUCCAGCAAUACAAAAGGACAUUGUUCAAUGCUUUGCAGAGGUCAUAGUGAAUUCUAUCAUCGAAGAGAUUGGUGGUGAUGUGUUUUGCUUGUUGGUUGAUGAGUCUGCGGAUGUUUCAGACAAGGAACAAAUGGCUGUGGUUUUACGGUACGUCGACAAAUGUGGAGUGCUCAAAGAAAGACUCAUUAGUGUUGUUCAUGUCAAUGAGACAACAUCUUUAUGUCUCAAAUCUAACAUCGAUCAAUUAUUUACCAAGUAUAAAUUGAGCUGGAAACAAGUCAGAGGUCAAGGUUAUGAUGGAGCAAGCAACAUGAGAGGUGAGUUCAAUGGUUUAAGAGCUCUGAUCAUGAGAGAGAAUAGGUCAGCAUUCUAUGUCCAUUGUUUUGCUCACCAGCUUCAGUUAGUCAUAGUAGCAGUAGCUAAAAAAAAUGAUGAUAUUAGUGACUUUUUUGACAUGAUAUCUCUUCUUCUUAACGUGGUUGGAGCUUCUUGCAAACGGAAAGACAUGAUACGGGAAACUCAACAAGAGAGAGUAAAGAAAGCAGUAG